GAUGAACGCUAGCUACAGGCUUAACACAUGCAAGUCGCGGGGCAGCAUGGGGGUUGCUUGCAAUCCCCGAUGGCGACCGGCGCACGGGUGAGUAACGCGUAUCCAACCUGCCCUUCACCACGGGAUAACCCGGCGAAAGUCGGACUAAUACCGUAUGUUGUCCAUUGACGGCAUCCGAUUUGGACGAAAGGCUUGGCGGUGAGGGAUGGGGAUGCGUCCGAUUAGCCAGACGGCGGGGUAACGGCCCACCGUGGCUACGAUCGGUAGGGGUUCUGAGAGGAAGGUCCCCCACACUGGAACUGAGACACGGUCCAGACUCCUACGGGAGGCAGCAGUGAGGAAUAUUGGUCAAUGGGCGUAAGCCUGAACCAGCCAAGUAGCGUGCAGGAUGACGGCCCUAUGGGUUGUAAACUGCUUUUAUGCGGGGAUAAAGUGGCCCACGUGUGGGCUUUUGCAGGUACCGCAGGAAUAAGGACCGGCUAAUUCCGG
Molecule: ribosomal RNA, 489 nt
Filed under: uncultured bacterium
Lineage: Bacteria
Description: partial 16S ribosomal RNA
Rfam family: Bacterial small subunit ribosomal RNA
Source: RNAcentral